GGAAAAUGCAGCUGAAACUUAAAAAGAUUUGACUGGAAGCAGCGGUCCAGAUGUAGAGUUUUGGAAGUGUGGCAGAACAAAAUUGAGAACGUCUUUGAGAUCCAGCUUCCGCAAACCACUUUUCGCACUUUUUAAAAGCGAAAGUAAGGGAAUAAAACUGCUCAAAUCUUUGGAAAGCCACGCUGAAGAGAUACAAUCAACUUUAAUUUGGCUUGCGAUACAUUCAAUGUUGGUGCGACAGCAAUGACAAAAAAGGACGGCGGGAGCAUGAACGCGAAGAACACCA
Drosophila takahashii is the source of this 286-nucleotide long non-coding RNA. RefSeq lists it as uncharacterized. NCBI's taxonomy places the organism in Eukaryota, Metazoa, Arthropoda, Insecta, Diptera, Drosophilidae. The record is from RefSeq and is a predicted model, not a curated record.